AGCUCGCCAGAGGAAAAAGGAAACAGAAACUGCGCAACUCGCGCCUUGGAAAUACUGCCGGCUAGCGCUGCGGGAAACGGCUCCCCUUAACUCUGAAGUUCCGCGAUCUUCUCUUUGUGCGCGGGCGGAUGGAUCAACGCCGCCAAGUGGGGAAAGCGUGAACGCAGUCCCCCACUACAACUAAUUAUGCAGUCGAGUUUUCCACAUUUGGGAAUAUCUCAGGGGUCAGCACAUCCGGAGUGCAAUCGAUGAGCCUCACGCUGGGAAAAACCACCUUCGUGAUCAUGGUAUCUUCCCUGCCAGAGAGAAACCAAUCAGCUUCAUUUUCAACUUCUUCUAUGACUCCAGAGGAUUCACUUUGCAUCUUGUGACAAAUGAAUAUAUUACCUGAAAAAAAAAUGACAGGAUAGAUAUUGAAGAAAUAAUUUUUUAUAGGACUCUGGAGUGAAGGGAUUAAUAUUGACCAGAGCCAAUGAGGUCAUCUCAUCCUUGAGGGGAGCAGGUGUGAGCUUCAAAUGCUUAGGGCCUCUGGAAGGAAGCUUCCCUGUUGGAGAAAUCACCAACCGGCUCAGCAUGGUCUGAAUGAGGAUGACAAAAGGAGUUGCUGCACAGGGGGAAAGCGAAGUUCCCAGGAGUAAGAUGUGCAAGAAGGGGGCAGCCUUGCAUCUCAGGGCUGAGUUCCCUCAACUGUGUGCUUGAGGGAAGUUCUCCCCUUGCAGACACACUGCUGAGUGAUAAGGAAGCGCCUAGACUCCACUCUGACCAGACUUGGUUCUGAGGCCUAUGAAAUGUUGAUGGGAAGAACAGAAGCAGGAAAAUCUAUCUAUUCAAAUUUGCAAGACGUGGAAACUUUUAUUCACCUUCCUGGUUAGACUGUUCCUUUGUCAAAGUAAAGCUAAGGCCAUGGAAAAUGAGCUAUUUGAGAGUCUGUCGCUCCAAGGAAGAACAUGCUGGCCUAAUUGUCCCCCAAGUCAGGAGAGAGAAUUGUAAAAAACACUUAAACAGGCCUAAGUAAAGGUCCAGCACAUUAUUUAUUUAAGACUGAAUUAGGACUGAGUCAUUCUGACUCUGAAAAAAGAGUGUUGUUGGAUUCUUAUGUAUUUAGUGGGUCUGCCCUAUUGAAAACCAUUGUGAAGUAUGGUUUCCCAAGCAAGAAAUGACACUUUCACUGUCAGUCUUUCUAGGAGUCUGGCAGAAUCCAGGACCGGGAUUACCCUUAUUUAUGAAGCGACCUUAGACUAACAGUGGCUCUCUGGGUCUCCAGACAAUUGGCCAGGGACUCUAAAAACCAGAAACAAAGUUGAGAGAACUCCAUGCUGGUGGAGAAAAACAGCUGGCCUUUAUCACCAGAAUGUGCCCCAUAGAAGCAGCAAAGCAGCAAGCGACGUUCUUAAACAAGGGCCUGUGGGCCUCGUCAAGAUCUGGAGGAAUCAUCUACGACUCACUGCUGAGUGAGAGGGCUAGGCAGUGUCUUUAAGGUCCUGCCAGCUUUAACAUUGUAUGCUUUUUCUUUUGUUCAAUCUCUCACCACAACUGGAAGUGUUGCCUCAACUACACAGGAGAAAGUUUGCAGUAACUUAGAGAAAACAUUAUUUUAAUCACCAGUGUAUGUUCUCCUGCUCCCUGGACAAAUCCAUCAGCAGCGGCAACACUGACCAGGUCCAGAUUGGGGCCGCUGCGGUGGAUGUGAAUCCAUUGAAACUAGGGGUCUCCAGUGCUCCUGA
Molecule: non-coding RNA, 1724 nt
Filed under: Pan troglodytes (chimpanzee)
Lineage: Eukaryota; Metazoa; Chordata; Mammalia; Primates; Hominidae
Source: RNAcentral